Molecule: transfer RNA, 74 nt
Filed under: Nanobdellota archaeon
Lineage: Archaea; Nanobdellati; Nanobdellota
Description: tRNA-Ala
Rfam family: tRNA
About the family: Transfer RNA (tRNA) molecules are approximately 80 nucleotides in length.
Source: RNAcentral
GGGCCUGUAAUUCAGCCUGGUAGAAUGCGCCGCUGGCUGCGGCGAUGCCUCGGGUUCGAAUCCCGACGGGUCCA